GACGAACGCUGGCGGCGUGCUUAACACAUGCAAGUCGAACGGAAAGGCUCCACCUUGCUGGAGUACUCGAGUGGCGAACGGGUGAGUAACACGUGGGUAAUCUGCCCUGCACUCUGGGAUAAGUUUGGGAAACUGGGUCUAAUACUGGAUAUGAGCUUUCUCUUCAUGGGGUUUGGUGGAAAGUUUUUCGGUGUAGGAUGAGCCCGCGGCCUAUCAGCUUGUUGGUGGGGUGAUGGCCUACCAAGGCGACGACGGGUAGCCGGCCUGAGAGGGUGAUCGGCCACAUUGGGACUGAGAUACGGCCCAGACUCCUACGGGAGGCAGCAGUGGGGAAUAUUGCACAAUGGGCGGAAGCCUGAUGCAGCGACGCCGCGUGAGGGAUGACGGCCUUCGGGUUGUAAACCGCUUUCGGCAGUGACGAAGCGUAAGUGACGGUAACGGCAGAAGAAGCACCGGCUAACUACGUG
Molecule: ribosomal RNA, 467 nt
Filed under: uncultured bacterium
Lineage: Bacteria
Description: partial 16S ribosomal RNA
Rfam family: Bacterial small subunit ribosomal RNA
Source: RNAcentral